RNAcentral lists this ribosomal RNA (269 nucleotides) under uncultured prokaryote. RNAcentral's name for it is "partial 16S ribosomal RNA". It matches the Rfam family "Bacterial small subunit ribosomal RNA", at positions 524 to 792 of the family's 1533-position model. The record is from RNAcentral.
UACGGAGGGUGCAAGCGUUAUCCGGAAUCACUGGGCGUAAAGGGCGCGUAGGCGGUCUGUUAAGUCUGGCGUUAAAGCCUGGGGCUCAACCCCAGAUCAGCGUUGGAUACUGGCAGGCUAGACGGUUGGAGAGGCGAGUGGAAUUACCAGUGUAGCGGUGGAAUGCGUAGAUACUGGUAGGAACACCCAUUGCGAAGGCAGCUCGCUGGACAACACGUGACGCUGAGGCGCGAAAGUGUGGGGAGCAAACCGGAUUAGAUACCCCCGUA